GAUGAAGAACGCAGUGAAAUGCGAUAAGUAAUGUGAAUUGCAGAAUUCAGUGAAUCAUCGAAUCUUUGAACGCACCUUGCGCCCCUUGGUUAUUCCAAAGGGCAUGCCUGUUUGAGUAUCAUGAACACCUCAACUCUUGUGGUUUCCCACAAUGAGCUUGGACUUGGGGGUUUUGCUGGCCUUCGGUCGGCUCCUCUCAAACGGAUCAGCUUUCCAGUGUUUGGUGGCGUCACGGGUGUGAUAACUAUCUACGCCUGUGGUUUUCUGCCAGAUAACCUUCAGCGAUGGAGGUUCGCUGGGGCUCAUAAAUGUCUCUCUUCAGUGGAGACAGCUUUUUGGACGUUUGAUCUCAAAUCAGGUAGGACUACCCGCUGAACUUAAGCAUAUCAAUAAGCGGAGGA
Molecule: unclassified non-coding RNA, 401 nt
Filed under: soil metagenome
Description: partial contains 5.8S ribosomal RNA, internal transcribed spacer 2, and large subunit ribosomal RNA
Rfam family: 5.8S ribosomal RNA (bases 1-121)
Source: RNAcentral